This 368-nucleotide ribosomal RNA is filed under the name uncultured microorganism. Its description in RNAcentral is "bacterial SSU rRNA". It matches the Rfam family "Bacterial small subunit ribosomal RNA", at positions 346 to 725 of the family's 1533-position model. The record is from RNAcentral.
GCGCAGAGUCGAGAAUCUUCCCAAUGGGCGCAAGCCUGAGGGAGCGACGCCGCGUGGGGGAUGAAGGGUCUUCGGAUCGUAAACCCCUGUUGCCCGGGACGAAGUUCUGACGGUACCGGGUGAGGAAGCUCCGGCUAACUACGUGCCAGCAGCCGCGGUAAUACGUAGGGAGCGAGCGUUGCUCGGAAUUACUGGGGCGUAAAGGGUGUGUAGGUGGACAUGCAAGUCCAGGGUGAAAUCCUUCGGCUCAACCGAAGAACUGGCUCUGGAAACUGCAUGUCUUGAGUGCAGAAGAAGGGAGCGGAAUUCUCGGUGUAGCGGUGGAAAUGCGUGGAUAUCGAGAAGGAACACCAGUGGCGAAGGGCGGC